GUCAUUUUAAGAGAAGUAAAAGUCGUAACAAGGUCUCCGUUGGUGAACCAGCGGAGGGAUCAUUA
RNAcentral lists this ribosomal RNA (65 nucleotides) under Colletotrichum cf. gloeosporioides AR4031. Its description in RNAcentral is "partial 18S ribosomal RNA". It matches the Rfam family "Eukaryotic small subunit ribosomal RNA", at positions 1767 to 1831 of the family's 1831-position model. The record is from RNAcentral. Lineage: Eukaryota; Fungi; Ascomycota; Sordariomycetes; Glomerellales; Glomerellaceae.